GUCUUUUUGAUUAUAAUUUAAGGUUUGACCUGCCCACUGAUAAUUUAAAUGGCCGCAGUAUUUUGACUGUGCAAAGGUAGCAUAAUCAUUAGUUUCUUAAUUAGAAGCUGGUAUGAAUGGUUGGACGAGAAAUUGACUGUCUCUGAUUAUACAUUAAAAUUUUAUUUUUAAGUUAAAAAGCUUAAAUAAUUUUAAAAGACGAGAAGACCCUAUAGAGUUUUAUAUUUAAUUUAAUUUGGAUUUUAGAAUUUUAUAUAUUAAAUUAAAUAUUUUAUUGGGGUGAUAUAUAAAUUUAAUAAACUUUAUAUAUUUUUAUACAUAGAUAAAUGAUUUUUUGAUCCAUUGUUUAUGAUUAAAAGAAAAAAUUACCUUAGGGAUAACAGCGUUAUUUUUUUUUAGAGUUCUAAUCGAAAAAAAAGUUUGCGACCUCGAUGUUGGAUUAAAGUUAAUAAUUGGUGUAGAAGCUAAUAAAUUAGGUCUGUUCGACCUUUAAAACUUUACAUGAUCUGAGUUUAAACCGGUGUGAGCCAGGUUGGUUUCUAUCUUUAAAUAUUUUAAAUAUUUUAGUACGAAAGGACCAAAUAUUUUUAAAAUUUAAUUUAUUUGAAUA
RNAcentral lists this ribosomal RNA (610 nucleotides) under Hydraena sp. IBE AF202. RNAcentral describes it as "partial 16S ribosomal RNA". It matches the Rfam family "Bacterial large subunit ribosomal RNA", at positions 1819 to 2724 of the family's 2925-position model. The record is from RNAcentral. Lineage: Eukaryota; Metazoa; Arthropoda; Insecta; Coleoptera; Hydraenidae.